Molecule: ribosomal RNA, 253 nt
Filed under: uncultured bacterium
Lineage: Bacteria
Description: partial 16S ribosomal RNA
Rfam family: Bacterial small subunit ribosomal RNA
Source: RNAcentral
UACGUAGGAGGCGAGCGUUGUCCGGAAUUACUGGGUGUAAAGCGCGUGUAGGCGGCCUGCCAAGUCUGCUGUGAAAGCGCCUGGCUUAACCGGGAGAGGUCGGUGGAAACUGGCGGGCUGGAGGCCGGUAGAGGGGGGUGGAAUUCCCGGUGUAGUGGUGAAAUGCGUAGAGAUCGGGAGGAACACCAGUGGCGAAGGCGGCCCCCUGGGCCGGGACUGACGCUGAGACACGAAAGCGCGGGGAGCGAACGGG